RNAcentral lists this long non-coding RNA (9042 nucleotides) under Cucumis sativus (cucumber). RNAcentral describes it as "long non-coding RNA (CSAT_LNC001033)". The record is from RNAcentral. Lineage: Eukaryota; Viridiplantae; Streptophyta; Magnoliopsida; Cucurbitales; Cucurbitaceae.
UUUUUUUUUUUUUUUUUUUAGUUUUUGGUGCAACUCAAUUUUACAAUGACCAAUAACAAAGGUUCAAAACAAACAAUAAUAUAUGUUGCAAUUUAUCUUCCUACUAGACAAUAGAAGGUUGUAUUUUGACUUGAAGGAUUUUUCUUUGAUAUUCUUGGGUUGUUAUGAAAAAAUCAUUCUUAAAUAUAUAGGUGCAAGAGAUUUUUUGGAUAAGUCAGGAUCGAACACAAGGAAUUUCUAUCAACGCUUAGUUAUAAUGUUUACUGCUCAAUCAAGUAGUAUACAUUUUAUACAUAAUAAAAUAUAAAAUGUUAUACUAAGCUACUUAUUUACACAAAAGAUUCUAUAGAGGGAAUGGAAUGGGAUGAUUAUGGAAUACGAACUAACUUGCGUUCAUAAGGAUGAAGGAAAGUCAUAGUAUUCUAGGUGAUCUAAGUUAUGCAAUAUGUCCUUGAUGCGAUAUAGAUCACUUGACCAUCUUAUAUUUAAGGCGAAUAACCUCUCGAUGCUUAAACAUCAUACUUAUUCUCCUUUCAGGACACAAAUGGUAAAGAUGUGAUAUACAUCUAGGGUUUCUUACUUAUAAGCAUCAUAUAUGACUCUCUAUUUAAAACAAGCAACCUCUCAGUGCCUAAACACCAUAUUUGUUCUCCUUUCAGAACAUAAAUGAUUAAAGUCAAAAUGCCAAAAUGAAGUUUGUUCAAACUCCCUUCUACACGUAUUUAGUAGUGUCCUUACUACUUACUCUCUCGAGCAGUUGACAACCAACGUUGGCCAAGCAAUUGAGUUCAGCUCAGCUAAAUAUGAUGAGACUUAUAACUAAAGAAUCCUUACCUUUUAGUUAUGUCUUUGCUACUUAUUCUCUCGAGCAGUCAAAAGCCCAUAUUCUUCAUACAUAAACUGCAUAGUUAUACCUUUUCAAUCCACCAUCUCUUAACAUCCCACCUAUCUUUAUGUUGUUAAAUGAGAAGAGUGUGAUAAAUUCUUGAUAAGAAGUUCAACUUAUAAUUCUUGUCGCGUUAGUUGAGCUAUGUUCAUCACUUGACCAAUGUCAAUCGUCAACUACUCGAGAGGGCAAGUAGCAAGGAUAUAACUAAUGAGAUCAAGUAGCAAGGAUAAGACUAAUGAGCGCAAGGAGGAAUUUGGAGACAAAUUUCACCUUAGCGAAGUAACUGCCAACAUUUGUAUCCCUAAAGGUGAACAAGUGUGGAUAAUAGGCACCAAGAGAUUGUCGUCCUUAAUCGAGAAGUCCUUAAUCAACAACUGUGGAUAAUAAGUAUUAUAAGUCAAGUUCUGUAGGUAUAAUUUGCCUAAGCAAGCAUAGUCAUUUGUAUCCCUAAAAGCGAACAAGUGUGGCAUUUAAACACUUCGAGAUAAGGUCACCUUAAUCAUGUGUCCAUUAUGCAAUUAUAGCAUGUUAAGGUUAUCGCAACACCUAAGCAUUUAAUAGCGCGCAAAAUUUCUUUCAACUUUCAUUUGCAUACAAGUUAGAUUAUUUCACUCUCCCCUAAUUAAAUUUAAUCUCUCGAGCUGUAAAUAAGUAGUUGUAGUUAUUGUUACAUUUUUUCAACUUAAUUACCAUAAAGCCAAAAUGACAAGUGAAAUCUAGAACUAACAUCUAUAACAAUUUCCUGUGUUCGACCUUGGAUCACCUAGGUAAACCUACUGUUCACUUGCACUUAGACGAGACGUAAGAAAACUUGUACUCAACAAGGAUUUAAGUAUUAUGCAAUGAAGAUGGACAUAGUGAGCACCUUCAAUGUUAUGAUCAUGACCCGUGACCCAUCGUUUAGAAUCAAGGCAUGUCAUACAGAGAGUUACAACGAGCACAUUAUGUGUGAUGACCUAACUCAGUGAUGUAUGACACUUGCGUUCCACACAUGAAUUUAGUAAGUCCAAACUGACCAAAACCAAUGUUCAACCAGAUGCCCCUUAAUAAAAUAUCACCAAUAGUGAAGCCAUAGAAACGAUAAUAAUAAUAAUAAUGAGCCAUCUUGAAAAGCAAAGUCUUCCAAAAGAUUAUAUCAAGCCGAAAUCAAAACAAAGGCUACACCUCAGUAGACAAAACAUACUGCCUCUUUGAUCCAUAGUCAAGAUAGAAGUCAUAACUACGUAGCAAAAUAAUUACAACUACAAAACUCUCCCCCUUUGAACACAAAAAGAGGUAAUUCUCAUGAAAAUAAUCAUAUCAAAAUUUUGUUGGAUUCCAAGUGAUAGUAGUUAUCAAUUUGCCGAAUUUCUUUCAUAAAAAUAGUAUUGUUCUUAUCUGUCACAUACAUCCUUCUUUGCAGAAAUUUAGUGUAUAACCUUGAUCACACAUUUGGCUAAUAUUGAUUAAAUUUGCAAUAAGUUCUUUUACAUAUAUCGCAUCAUUAUAUCUCGAAAGAUUUAUAUUAAUUGUAUUUUAUCUUGCCAAAAUUCUUCCUUUUGCUCCAUCACCGAAAGUUACAUACCUUGAAGAACUUUUUUUAAUUCUGAAAAAUAUGAGCGAUUACUAGUCAUAUGGCUUGAGCAACCACUUUCAAAAUGUCAAUCUUCAGUUGAUGUUUGAUUUAUAGUAAAGGCAACUUUACAUUUAUCAGAGGAUUGAUUUACUCUCCACAAUGUAUUAGUGUUUCUUGACUUAUAUACAACAGACUUAGAUCUGUCAAGAGUAUGAUUAGAAUGAUAGACAUUUUCUUUAAGAAAUUUUUAGCAAAAAAGCCUUAUAUGAUCAUGCUUACCGCAGUGAUGACACACCCAAAUCUUAGACUUCUUUUGAACAUGAUUGGUCCUGACUUGAUUGGCUUUGAGAGGAAUAACUUUCUUUGUUAUCACAUUUUCUUCUACACUCCUCUUGGCUUUUGCUGGAACAAAAAAAAUUAAUUUUUUCUGAUUGCAUGCUUGUCCUGAUGAACUAUAGUCGAGACCAUACUUAUUUGAACUAGAUUUUCCAGUAUUUAAAAUCCAAUUUAGAUCAUUUGUGCCAGAGUUUAGCAUUUUUACAGAUUUUGACAACUAUUCAUGCUCAGUUUGUACCUCUUUCAGUUUCUAUUUUAAAGAGAAUAUCACAAUCAAUAAUCGUUGAUUUUCAUCCAUCGACUACUGUAUUUUUUUUCUUUUUGAAUAGCCCGAGUUGAUGAAUCCUCCCUCCAUUGACGCUGCAACUGAUCAAAAGACGGAGUAUCCUCCGUUUGACAAUUUAAGUUUUCAAAACCAGAUAUAGAUUCAUUUUUAGAUAUAAUAAUGAUAAAAGUAUUUGUAUAUUCCUCUUCUUCACCACUUAGGUUAUACUCUUCAUCUGAUAGGGUAGCACCAAAACUUUUCCUCUGCCUUCUCAGGUACGUCAGACAUUCAAUCUGAUAAUGGUCAUGACCACCACAUUUCCUACAUUUGAAUGAUCCAUCUAAUUUGACAUUAGGCUUAUCAAAAUUCUUUCUUCUAAAGUUGUUCUGAUCUCUACGGUUGAAGCCAAAAUUUCUCCUUUAUCUUUAGGAUCAUUUAUAAAAUAUCUUUUAAUAAGAAGUUAAAAGAUCUUCCUUAAAUAUCUCCUUUAAAGAAGAAGAUAAAAGAUAUUCCUCAUAUUUAGGAAUAUUUUAUCGCAAGAAGUUCUUUUUUCUUGACUCUCUAAAAAGCAGAAGUUUUCUUUAGAAAUUUAUAUUUUUGGUGAAGAAUCUAUACGAAGGUAAACUGGUUACCUCCUUUAUUUUAUGAAAAACUUUUUAUAUAUUCUUUAGUGGUUUCGGUGUAUAUGAGAUAAGAAAUUUAAAAAAGAUCUUGAAGAUUUGAUAAAGUCUUUAAAUUGUGAAGCUUUUCACAAGUUUUUGUGUGUGGGUUACUAGAUUUCUAUUCAAAGAAAUUUGUGUUACCAAAGAAAGUUUUCAAAGGUAUCUCAGUUACCUUCUACAGUAUGACAAAUUAUUGAAGAUCGUCAAGUGAUUUGACAGAGUAUCGAUUGAUAAGAAAUAUGAAUGAGACUGAGUUAAUUGUAUUGCGGUAAAUGAAUUCAAGGGGAGUCUGAAUUCGUCUUUGAGGAGAUUCACGAUUACCUUAAGGGGAAGCCUGAGUUUAUUUUAAGUUAUGGUGAUAAAUUAUCAAAGUAGCUUUAGAUUUAAGUUAUUACCUUUUGAAUCUCAAUAAUAUUUCUUAUAUGAGCAAAGAAGUUCCCUAGGUGUAGGUCGUAUUUGUCGAAUUGGAUUAUCAAAGGCUUUUGUGUUAGUUAUUCCUACAGUUAAUUAUGUUAGUUAUUCCUACCGUUAAUCAUGUUAGUCAUACCUGGAGGAUAUUAUUUUCGUCUCACCUGUUUUUCAAUGGACGGACUGAAAGUAGAGAACUGGAAGUGAUCUUUCAUUGCUCUGUACAUGCUGGCUCGAUAUCAAUAGUAUUGAGUGUUAAUGGUAUAAGGUUGAUUCAUAAUAGAUUUCAACAAUAAAUGCAAUGGAAUAUGGGUGUUACAUUGAAUUUUUGUGUUUUUGGCUAUUGAAAGAGAGGAAAAAAAGAGAGAUAGGAAAUAUACGAGAAUCAAAGCUUUUAAUUGGCAAUUUGGGUAAUUGUGCAAUUGGCUAUCGAAUUUGUAAUCCUUCAUUUUUCCCUUCAAUCCAAGAACCAAUACAAUGAUUUUGAACCACAAUAGGGUAACCAUUUGUAUUCAAAUUGAAAUAUUGUCAAACUAUUAAAGUUUGUUUGGAUUACAAUUUCAAAGGAUCAAAUUAAAAAAUGAUUUUGAAUUUUUUUUAUAAAAUAAUAUUGUUUAGGAUAAAUACUUAAACCAAGUUUUAGAAAAAAUGAUUUUUUUUUAUUGUUUAAUGGUCAAUUUCUUAAAUUUAUAUGAAAAAUUAGGCUUCCACCUCUGAUGAUCUUUGUUGUCCAAUCUUUAGUGAUCUUCUUUCAUAGAUUGCUAUCAACCAACCUCAAAUCAUCAUCAUUGGUGAACCUUCGACCACUAUUUUUCAGAUGACAGUUAAAAUCAAAUUUUCGUGUACCGUUUUUUCCACACCUCCCUCUAGCCAAUCUCUAACAACUGCUUUCAACCGUGCAGGCCAAUCACCCACCAACCUCUACCAUCGUCAGUAAACCUCUGAUCACCAUUUUUAUGGCUACUAGUUUUCAUGGACCGUUGACGAUCAACUUUCGUUUUCUGUUAUUCAACAACCACAUUCUAAAAAUGAUGCGACCAACUUUCAACAAACAUAUUUUGAUGUCGGCUACUUGUCAACUUUCGAUGAUUGCUUUAUACAAUUGCACUAACAACCUCUAAUCACUGUUUUUCGACAAAUCCUUUCUGACAACUAUUGUCAACCAACUUUCGACCACAUUUUUCAAUGACAAUUUUCUAGUGAUUGUCAUAGGCACACCUUCAAUUGUUGCGAACAACUACUUUUUGCCUAUGGUUGACUCUCAAUAUUCAUCUUAAAGGACUAGAUAAUCAUAUAGGAAAAGCAAUUGAAUCUAAUAUCGUUCUAAUUACAUAUAAUUGAAGGAUUAAACAUUUUUUUUAACUUUGUUCAAAAACAAAAUUUGUAUAACAUAGAAUAUGUUGCUCAAAUCUUCACGAGUUUGAUAAUUUUCUUAUUAUGAAAUCUCCGAGAACAAUCACUUAGAUCAUCUCUACUAUCUUCUAGAAUUAGAACUUGAGUGUGGACCAAUUUGGUGAUGAAUUUAGAGAAUUUUAUAGGAAGAGAAAACUAUGAACACAAGGUAAGUUUCAGCAAAAUUAGUCAAGUUUCAUCAUCAAAUAAUCUCAUCAAACUUCAAGAAUAAAUAGCUAAAUUUAUUCAAACUAACCAUUAGUUUUUAAUUUGGUUAUAAUAAGGAUUUGUGGUUAACUGUGGAAUCAACAACUCAUGAAAGCAGGGACCUUGGAACUCAAAGUUGGGGUUUUUCCACUCACAUUUGAAAGACAACAAUUUGACUUCUAAAAAUAUUUUUCAAUUAAAUUGAUUUUUCUUUAAAAUGAUAAAUCAAUUUAAAAAUCAAAAUUUCUUAUUUAAUUAAAAUAAUUUCUCAACUAAUCUUAUUGAUUUGAGAAUUCCAAAUUUAAUAAAAUAAUAAAAAUUGAUCAAUGAAACUAUUUAAUUAAUUAUUAUUUUAAUCACAAAUCUCGAUCAAUUUCAUUGACCUAAUCCAAAUCCCUAUUCGGAUUUUUCAAUACUUAAAUCUUAUUUAAAUGCUAUUUCUCUUUCCAUUUGUAAUAGUUGAUUAUAUCAAAUAUUAUCAACAAUUUGUUCUUUAAAUCAAUUUGAACGAUUCGAAAUUCUUGAUCACGUUGUUUUGAGUUUAAUUCCAUAAUGAGUCAGUAGAGAGACCUAAUGAACUUACAGAUCAUGAGUUCUAAUGAUCUAAGAUUAAUAGACUAAACUCUUUAACCUAGCUAACCAACAUCCAUUUUCUAACAAGACUGUCCACUAUAGCCCCUAGGUCCACUUGAUAUAGCAAUGAUUAGUAAGUUGAGCCUUCAUAGGUUAUUUGUAAUCUCGACUGGAUCAAAAUAUCAUUUUACCCUCAAUGAUACAUUUUGUUUCUUAAGUCUCAUUGAUCUUCUAAUGAACAAUUGAUUUAUGAUCCAACCAUUAAACUAUCCCUCUCGGGCCAAUGAGAGGGUAAGACCCUUGUUUAAGUCUCAGAGUCAACACUUAAGGGAACAACCUCUCUACUAUCCUUAGAAUCGAGUAGGAGAGAAUUUCAUUUUGCACUCUAUGUCCAAGAUUGUCUUUUUGGUCUUCCCUUGAAAUGAAAGGUCUGUUGCACUAGUGCUAUUGAACUGCCCUCACCUAUCAAGAUCUAAGAAUAAUCUCGAGUAAAUAGGAGUUUGUAGUUAGCUCAAUAUUAACAUCAAGAUACUUAGGUAAUCAAAAUUAAAAUUGUCAAUUUUAAACAGUAAAUAAUGUUAUAAAGUAAAAGUGAUUAUUUCAUGGUUUGGUCUUAUGCAAACUUUUUGCAUAUUGAAUAGGACACCCUUACUUGCACGUUUCUACAUGAACGAUUUAAGAUCAUAUUGUCUGUACUAAAUAUAAAGGGCGCAUGUCUGUAGUGUCUCCAAAAUAAUUAAGUAUUCAACCAUACUCCUAUGCUACAGACCAUUUACACUAUCAACUCAAACUUGAUUUAUUUUGAUGUCACUAUAUAAAAUUCAAGUAUUCAUAUUAUAGCUAAAGGAACCUUAGUUUAUUGGAUUCAUAGUUUAUAACAAGCAAAUCUCUUAUUCAAUAAAAAUUUAUUAAAUAACACCUCAGGAACAAUUUUAUUGAAUAAUAAAAUAGCUUAACAUUUACAAAUCACAAAUUUUAGGACAUAAAAUGCAACAUGUCUAUCGUUUUCAUCGCAAUCGUUAUCGACCAACCUUAGAUUACCGCUUUUCAAUUACCAUAUUCGACCAACCUUUUGUCACCAUUUUAUGGUGACUGUUGUUGGCUAACCUUUAGUCACCAUUUUUCAAUGACUAUCGUUUACCAACUUUCCGUUAUUUUUUUUCGAUGAUUUGCCUACCAUCUCUGAUCACCGUCUACAACCAAAUUUCAGCAACUGUUUUCUUAGCAACUAUUGUCGACCAACCUCUGGUGACCAAUAUUGCUCACCUUUAAUCAUCAUUUUCCAGCAAUCGCUAUUACCUUCGAUCACUGUCUUUGAUGAUUGUUUCAUGCAACCAUCAAUGAUCAACUUUCAACAGUCGUUUUCUAGUGAUUGUCAUUGGCCACCUCCAACUGAUAUCCCUGAUAACCGUUGUCAACUCCGACCAUCACCUUCACGGGCAAUUUUUUUUAUUGUAAUUUAAAAUUAAUAGAAACAUUUUUAGUAUAUAACAAAUAAUUUAUACCUAAAAACACUUUUGAAAAAAAGUAGCCAAAGACUGUUUUUAUUUGAAUUUGAAGUUGCUUUUAGAAAAAAAUGUUUAAAUGAAAAUGCAUUUUUGAAAAACAUGUUUAAAUGUAAUAUAUAAUGUUGGUAGCUAAUUGUUUGAAUAUUAUAUACAAUGUUAAAAAGAAAACUAGCCUAACACAUGAAUGGAGUGCAAAAGAUAGGAUAAGUACACAGAAGGGGCCAACUGAAGUAGACCACCAAUCAAUGUUUGAAGCAAUUCUAUUCUGUGUUUAUGAAAUUGGAAAGGAUUUGCGUAUGGUCAUUCAAUGGUAGUUGUACUGGCAAGUUUUGUUUUGUUUUGUUUUGUUUCUUUUUAAUUUUACUGCCGAGUUUCAUCACGAUCAUCUUCAGUUUGGAGACAACCAAUCGAGCUUCAAACAAGCUCUUUCACAGGACAAAUCAAAGAAGAAAAGAAAAAGAAAAAGAAAUGUAUGUUGGUUGCAGAAACAUAAGCAAAGAAAAGGAAGGAAUUAAGGAAUGUCUUAUACGGGCUUGGUAUUAUGGUCUAAGAAUAUGUAUAUAAUCAACAAAAUAAAUUGCAACCAAUUCAAACUUCCAAAAUAUUACAUUGAAAAAAUAUAUGGAUUCUUCAAAUGAUGGAUACAUGGAAAAAGUUUAAAACUUCAAAUUCCAAUACAACCAAGGCUUCUAGUAAUGAUUGAAUUGACGUUUGUCAUGGUGUUGUCUCAAGAAAGUUCCAUAAGCUGCAAAAGGUUCUAAAUAUAAACAUUGUUGCAAUGUAUUGAUUGCAAUAGAAUUUGGCCCACAAUUUUUCUUCAAAUAGUUUGUUUCUCCUUCAUUGAGCAUCAGUUAUGAAGACAAGCAAUUCAAUUGGAGAGUAAUGGCUAUUUAAUUGUGCAAACAAAUCAAAUAAUGAAAGAUUUCAUGUUUUAACCAAUUAAGUUAAAUUCCAAUAUUACUUGUUAUUAAAGCAAGAUAAGUACUGCACAAGUAACUCAAAUGUUCAUUCUAUACAUCAAAUAAUGAUGACAAGAAAAUAACAACAGCAAAUAAAGAACGAAAAAACAAUCACAACUUCAUAAAUUCAUAUUACAUGGGAAGGUACUUGAAUAAACAAUCACAACUUCAUAAAUUCAUACAUGGGAAGGUACUUGAAUGACUUUCAUACAAAAGUUCAAUUUACAAGAUGUAUUAGACAUAAGCAUAAUACAAAACAGCUUUGAGUGUGACAAGAAGCAGGAGAAA